AUUACAUCAGCUCCGCAAAAACUGUUGAGAGUAUUACAAAGCUUCAAAUGUACGUUCAGUCACUUGAUCAGUCUUGAAAGCCCAGAAUUUCUAGUGCAGGGGUAGCUUCCAAGGUGGAAUCUGGAAAAUGAGGCUUCACGGUGCAACGAUAAAACUUGUUGAACCCUGCCAUCCUUACCAGCUUUCAGCAAUGGGUAUUUUUCGCAUUUCCACCUCUUCAUCCAUGUUUUAUGUGAACGGUGGAUGUCUUGAUUGGACUGUUAGUUUUUCUCUACCAUAAAUGCAGAAUUUUAAUUUAUUUAUUAAUUUUAUUUCAAUAACAAUAAUUAUUAUUUAAUAUAAAAAUCAAGAAUCUACUCCAACAAAAUUAUAUAUCAAAAUACACAUACCUCAAAGCGAUUCAACUACCUCACCUCUAAAAGGAUUUAAAUUAUCGAUCAAGAUAUAGGAAUCAAAAUCUCCUACCUUGAAUGAAUGACCUUUUCACUACCCCUUCUAUAAAUUUAUGCCAUGUGUACUCUCAUUAUUAAUGAUAUUAAGACUUGUUUGGUUUCAAAACUCAUUCUUUCUCAUUUAUUAAUUUUCUUCCUGACUUUCUCAAAAAAUGAUUUUCUCCCCCAAAACAUUACUGUUGAUACAUGAUGUUAUUGAAGUAUUUGGGCUUUGUCUUUUCUUUGUUUUCUUCUCUCUUUUAGUGAACUCAUAGCAAAGAAAAGAAUUAUCAACGAGGUCUAUUUCAUUACAAUAUUUACUAAUCAGUCCUUUCAUCAUACCAUAUUUCUUUUAGGCUUUAUGGAUAACUAAUUUAUACUGUCAUAUCCAACCCAUGUAAUAUCAAUUCAUGAUUUUCAUUUUUGUUGGACUUUAUAAAAUAUUUUUCUUCAAAAUAGCAAUAUAUAAUAUUAAUAUAAAUAAUAUAAUUCUAAAACACUUUUUAGAAAACACAUCGAUCGAAUUUCCUAAGUCUAACAAUCUUAUGGAAAUUGCUUGAAUGUCUUUCUCAAUAGAGAAUGACGAAUCCUUUGUAUAGUAUCCAAUAUAAUUUAUUUAGCAUAUACAUAACCCAACGUAUCAGGGUAUAAUCUUUAAAUUCAACAUCAUCAAUCAGUAAAAUUAAAGUCAUAUUGAUUUAAAAUAAAUUAUAUUGACCUCUCAAGUUUAAAGACAAUUAAUAAAUUGUAAUGGAGUUUCUUUUAAUUAUUGACAGUGACAAGCUUAUAUGGUGCUCUUUAAUUAGAUCUUAUUCAAUGUUUGUACCUUACAUAGUACACCCACUUAUUUGCUUUAAGGUCACUAUCCCAGUGAUAGAGUUGAAACAUUUUAUCUUUUUGAUAGAGACAUAACAAGCGUAGGCUUUGAAUAGUUUAUCACAUUUAGCAAAGAACAACUUUGAUAAACAAGGAAUUGAAGAACUAUGAUUCCCCACUUAAUAUUUCAUUAACUAUUAGCAUAGUUUUUCUACAAUGUUACCAAAUAAUUUAUGAUCAUAUCAUAUAUGUCAUAAAUAAAUAAAAUGUUACUUAUAAUAUAUAUGAAAUCAAUAAUUGAUAUUGCAAUUUAUUUAUCUAAUAAAUAAAUAAUAAAAAUUGAUUUUUAAAGGUAUCUCUAACACAAGUCUAAAGGUUGAACAAUGUUAAUGUGUAUCAAAGCACUUGCAACUUGAAACAAGAUCCACAUCACAACUAGAGAACCAUCUUUAGUCUAGCGAAAAAUUAUGAAAUAGAGUAAGUCUUACUUUACACAAACCUAUGCCGGGUGUUUACCUUUUGAGGUUGAUACAAAGUAAUUUCAUAAUUUUUUUUCUAGACAUUUCAUGAACUAAUCACUAAUAUUUACGAUCGAAAGAUAUUACAGAAUCGAGUAAUAACAACUCUUCACGGCACAAAAACCUUUGACUUGGCAAUACAUGGAGAUAUUUUUUCUGGGAAGGGAGAGAGUUUCUUGCUCAAGUAAUUUUUAGAUCACUAUGGUGAAUUGUUGUUGUGUUAUUUUGGUGGAACACCCAAGCAUAUUUACAAUGUUUUAAAGAUAACUUUAUAACUUUUAUCAAGAUAAUAUCAAGAUAACCACUUGUUAAAUACUUCUCAUAUUAAAUAAUCUUGAUCACUUGAAUUUAUUACCAAGAUAAUAGUUUUAUCCAAAUAGGAUAUUCAUCAUGGGUGUUAUCCCAAAAGCCCAACAUCUCCAACUCAUAAAUGAUGGGAAGCCAUCUACCACUCUUUUAAACCAUCCCAAUGCCAAGUUCAUAUUGGUUAAUGAACUAUGUGACCAUUAAGUGCACUAGAAUUUCGAAGUUCUAUAAUAGAUACUCGUUAGAGCUAGCAUAGAGACAUCGACCCUUAGGAACUUAAAACCUUAAGGAAUAAAGGAACAUAAUAAAUGGAAGAAAAUAUGUAAGGAAAUAUAUCACCUAACAAGGAAGGGUUAAAGGAAAAAAAUACACAUCCAUUUAUAGUGGUUGGGUUAGCCUAAACCUACAUCCAUAACCUUUAUCAAGGAUUUGUAUCUCAAUUCUUCACUAAACGAGUGCAAUUAACAAUUUCCACCAAAUACUAACAAGGCACGCUAUCCCAAGCUCAAAAUUAAAGUUUACAAACCCAAUGAAUGGUUCCAACACCAAGAUUUGACACCAACAAGUGAUCACAAUAAUUAAAGCUAUCAGUUAUAAAUGUGUCAGUAGAUCACAAUUAUAAAUGUGUCACUUGAUCACAAACUAAUCAAAAUUCAUCCUUUAGAACACACAAAUUCUCACUCUUAAAUAUAAUAGUUAAGCACAAAUAGAAAAAAUGAACUAGAGAUAGGUUCUUCAGUCUUUCAACCUAAUUCUUUCUAAAUUGGUCUCUUUAGAUUGUUAAAAGUCCUUUUUUUCAACUCUUUACUGGAUAUAUUAGAUUUAAAAAAUCAAUCAUUUAAGCCAAAAUUUUCAUUCGAGGUGUCAAAAUUUGCAACAAAUUACAAAUUCACAUGAGCUAUGAACCUAUUUGACAUCCUAGGUUAAUAGCUUCAAAUUCUUCAUUAGUUCAGCUAAUUGGUUAAAACCUUGAACUUCAUUCUCAAUGUUGAUCACAUCACAAAGAUUCUUUGAUCUGUUGAAGUUGUCCUUUAGAAGCUUCCAUAAACCUUUAUAUGACUUUAAAAACAUUCAAUCACUUAAUCUUGUUUCCUUAAUCGGCUAAGUCAAUUCUUCAAAUUUCAUGAUCCUCUCUAAAGCGAUUUAAUCGCUUAGACAUGAGCUCUUAGUCGAUUGACCUUUUUAUAUGCUAACUUCCAUUUAAUAGCUUUAAGGCAUUAACUGAUUAACUCUCCGCUGUGAAACACACUAUUACAAUUUAAGGAUAGCUAUGUAAUUUAACUUGUUAAGAUCUAGUUUAAAAUGUUUUUGUGAGACCUCAACCCCUAUAAGCUCAUAACGAGGCAUAGGCGUAACAACUUGGGCUAAGGGUAGUUUCAUCAUUUCCUCUAAAUAAGUUCCUAAAAGGAAGUUUUCUGAUAUUUAAGAUCUAAAUAAGCAUAAAGACCAAAUAAAUGAUGUAUAAUGAUGAAAACAUGUAGAAAACUAGAUAUGGCAAUAAUUUUCACAAUAGGGGUAAAAUGGUCAUUUUGCAUCCUGAGUCAAAAUUUUUAAGUUUUCGUAAACCCGAGUAUAUUUAGACCAUUGUGGACUUGGCCUCAGUGUCAAAAGAGUAAAAAAAUUUCAUAGAGGAUUGGAGAAGAACAAGCUAACUUGCUAAGGGCAUUUUCGUAAUUUAAAAGGGAAUUGGAUAAGUUUGAGCUAUAAAUAUCUUCUCCUUCCAGUAGCUUCUUUAAUUUCCAGUAGCUUCUUCUUCUUCCUCCUUCUAUCUCACGUUUGUUUCCCCCUCCAUUGAAAGCAUGGUAUGAAAACUUCAUAACUUUCUCUCUCUAGCUCCAAAUUUCAUGCUUUCGCCCACCCUUUCAUACGAUUUUUCAUGCUCUUCCACUUUUACACCUUAAAACCCUCAAAAAGUCUUUGUUCAGCACUUUCUCUCACUAGUUGAAAGUUUUAGAGAGAGAAAGAGAGACUUGUCAUAGUAGCUUGGAAGCUAUUGGAAGAGAAUUCAACUACAAAGAAACCCUAAGGUGAGUGAUGAACUAGGCUUGGUUUUAAGUUGUUGAUAAUGGCUAGUAAUUGAGAUUAUGAGUUGUUUUAUUGUUGAGUUGUUUGCUCAUUUUUAGUGCGAUUAGAGUAGUGCAAACAAUAGCCAUUUAAUGGUGGUUGGAAACUAGUUAGGAAUGACUAGUAGAACCUAAUUUAGAAAAUAGUUUUGGAAUGGUAUUAAUGCCAAUUUGGGUUUGUUGUGAUGUUGUGUGUGUAUAGGUUCCAACAAGGCCUCACAUGUCCAUUUGGAGCAUUAGUUGAGGUUAGAGUCAAGCAAAA
This 4396-nucleotide long non-coding RNA is filed under the name Theobroma cacao (cacao). RNAcentral describes it as "long non-coding RNA (TCAC_LNC000345)". Lineage: Eukaryota; Viridiplantae; Streptophyta; Magnoliopsida; Malvales; Malvaceae. The record is from RNAcentral.